RNAcentral lists this transfer RNA (65 nucleotides) under Xiphinema pachtaicum. RNAcentral describes it as "tRNA-Gly". Lineage: Eukaryota; Metazoa; Nematoda; Enoplea; Dorylaimida; Longidoridae. The record is from RNAcentral.
ACUAAUUUAGUGUAAAAGCACUGUUAAUUUCCAAUUAACCAGAUCUUUUUAGUAGAAACUCAGUA